UUAACUUACGUAAUACAUAAAUAUACACUUGAAAAUCCCGCUGCCUGAAUUGGUUUACACCCAUUAGAUAAUUUAUACUUGAUAUAUAUUAUCUAUUUUAGUAAACGCAAUUUAUUGUCAACUUUAGAGUUCAAGAACAACAAAAUAGAUAGGAGUUGGAUGAAUUUGUCAAGGGUAAGCAACGACUAUCGAAAUGGAG
This 199-nucleotide long non-coding RNA is filed under the name Gossypium barbadense (sea-island cotton). RNAcentral describes it as "long non-coding RNA (GBAR_LNC012532)". The record is from RNAcentral. Lineage: Eukaryota; Viridiplantae; Streptophyta; Magnoliopsida; Malvales; Malvaceae.